Molecule: long non-coding RNA, 7176 nt
Filed under: Sus scrofa (pig)
Lineage: Eukaryota; Metazoa; Chordata; Mammalia; Artiodactyla; Suidae
Description: lncRNA (ENSSSCG00060026806.1)
Source: RNAcentral
UUUUUUUUUUUUUUUUUUUAGGGACUCACCUGUGGUAUAUGGAAGUUCCCAGGCUAGGGGUCCAAUCAGAGCUGCAGCUGCCAGCCUACGUCACAGCCAUAGGAACCCUGAAUCCAAGUGGCAUCUGUGACCUACACUACAGCUCACAGCAAUGGUGGAUCCUUAACCCACUGAGUGAGGCCAGGGAUAGAACCCGCAUCCUCAUGGACACUAGUCAGGUUUGUUACCACUGAGCCAUGGCAGGAACUCCUAUGUUAGGUAUUUAUCAAUGGACAUACACUUUCUCUUUGUAGUUAAAAGAGAAAAAUAAAUUUGUUAUCACUUGUUUUCGACCUAGUUGAAGGCUUAAAAGUUUACAGUCAUAAAGUUAAAAUGCAUUGGAAGAAUAUCUCCAUCAAGGACACAGCCUAUUGUGCCGUUUGUUUGCAUCUGCGGGGAAACCCAAUUAUAACAGCUAUUUUCAAGAACUCAUAUCACUGGAGACUGAGCAGUGCAACCCUGCAGUAGAGCAAGCAAAUAACGAGACGUCCUGAAAAACUGACCUAGACAGGGACACGAACAUGGUGAGCUCACCCACAUUCUGUUAUUCUCCCAUGGAAUUCUACAUUUGCUCUAAGUAUGGUUGCUGAUAUUAAUGUAAAUAAUGAGACUCUAGGCGUUCCCAUUGUGGUGCAGUGGUUAGCGAAUCCGACUAGGAACCAUGAGGUUUGGCUACAGCUCCGAUUCGACCCCUAGCCUGGGAACCUCCAUAUACCACAGGAGGGGCCCUAGAAAAGACAAAAAGACAAAAACAAACAAACAAACAAAAAAAACCUCUAAUUAAUCACUGAGCUGAUUUGAGUAAUUGUGUGCUUCAGGCAAAGUGAGGUGCGAAGACUGUUGGCCAUAGGUUCCAAAAUUUCUCUUUUUAGGUUGGACCUGGUAAGUUUUUCUUUUCUUUUUUUUUCUUUUUUUUUUUCUUUUUUUUUGUCUUUUGUCUUUUUUAGGGCCACUCCCAUGGCAUAUGGAGGUUCCCAGGGCAGGGGUCUAAUUGGAACUGUUGCUGCCGGCCUACCCCAGAGCCACGGCAACGUGGGGUCCAAGCCUCGUCUGUAACCUACACCACAGCUCAGGGCAACGCCAGAUCCCUAACCCACUGAGCGAGGCCAGGGAUCGAACCUGCAACCUCAUAGUUCCUAGUCGGAUGCGUUUCCGCUGCACCACAAUGGGAACUCCGGACCUGGUAAGUUUGACAACCAAAUACCUCUUUGGUAAACUUUAUGUAAGACUGGCGUAAAGUGAAGGAAGUAGGUCCUUAAUCAGUUGUUGCUACCACUUCUUUAAGAUCCAUCUCAAUGACACUUUUACUGAGCCUGCUCUAAUCCAGGGCAGGACACACCAUAUUUCCAUGAGAAACAAGGGUCCUUCUUCCCAGUCAUUCCCUGAGGGGCAUGGGUGUUUAGGGAACGAAUUUCUCCCUAAUUUUGUUUUCACCUUAUAUAAGAGCUGAGGGUUCCUUAAUUUAAAAUAAAAAUAGUUAAGAUUUGACCCAGGCCUUCUAAGUUCACUCAUGAGGAGAUUACCAAGGGGUAAAGCUGCUCAGUGAGAUGGCAGGAGUCCUGGAUCCUCCUCUUCCUUCUGUUGUGGAACCUGGGGAACAACCUCUAUUCUUUCUGAGUCUUAUUCCCUCUUUGUUACAUGAAAUGGAUUUCAAAAAUUUUUCUUUGCGGUCUCUUCUCAAUAUGAGACUUUAAUUGAGAUGAGGUCUCUUUCUUCUUGCUAUUUAGGCAGGAUGCCUCCUCACGGACCUCCUCUUGCUUCUUGCUUCCUCCCAGAGGUUAUGAAUGUCACAUCAUUAAGGGUGACAGACCAACAAACGCAUCUGUCCUCUCCACCAUCACUAUUCUCCCAGACUUCUGACAUGGCCUUAAACACAAAGCUUCACCUUCUCUCUUUUGGUCCCAUGAAUAGUUCUUGAUAAAGAAUGUUCUUUAAAAAACGAAAAAAACAACAAAAAAACAACAACAAAAAGCCACACCGCUAUAUCUUAUAAUUUCACUUCUCUCCUUAAACUAUUAGAAAUGGCUUCAUGUGGCUUGUAGUCUGACUCCAAAUCCUUGACAUGGCUCAUCAGACUCCUUACACUUUAGUCCCUGCUUAUACGUCUGGCAUCUUCUCAUGCCACCCUCCUCUUUUACUUUGCUGCAGCCUAGAUGUGGCCCACAGAAGACUGAGAUGGUGGCCAGUGAGCAUGUUUUAGUAUAAGUUUUCUGCAAUAAGCACAAAAGAUAUACUUUUGCUGAAGGAACCUGGUGACAUCAGGUAGAGGGAUGAUGUUGCUGGAUGUAGCUUCUUAAGUCUUCCUAGUUUUUCAUGGGAGAUGCGCUCAGUUUUGUGCUCAUGGAAGUUUGGGUAAGGACUGGCAUCUUCUGUCUCCAAACGUGUUCCCCGAAGGUCCAGAGUAAGUAUAUCAUGUGGUUGCAAAAUCUGCCUUUUUCUGGCCAUCACCUGGUUGUAACAUUCUACUUCUUGGUAUAUAGUCUGCAUAAGCUAACAGGGUCAUCUUGCUGCAUGAUUCGCAAGUUAUAUAACAAUGUUUAGCUAUCACACUUGGACAGCUGCAUGGGACAAUAAACAGUCUACAGGCAGGCAUACCUGGUGAUACCUUAAGGCCCAGGAUGGAGCUACUACCGCAGGCCUGGCUGGGGGUGACCAUACAGCCAUGUGGACCUUGACUUAGUUCUGCCAGUGCCAUGAACCAUCCCACCAGAGGGCGUUCACCUGCGCUGUCAAUUCUGCUCGGAUUAGUUAGUCUUUCCAAACCCCACCUUAUACCUUCCUUUCCACUGAGAUAAUUCCUAGUCGUUGUUCACAUCUUCUCAAUAUGCAAGUCACUUCCUUGCAAAAACUUGUCCUGUUCUUUCAGUCUAGGUGGGAUGUCCCUUCUUAUGCUUCUGCAAUACCCUUAACAUCCCCUAUAGCGUCAUUACACUUCUCAUUCAAUGACCAUCACCACUUCUACACUGUCAACUCUUUCAAGAAAGAUGAUCUAAUUCAUGCUAAAAGAACCUAAAGCGCAGAGUCUGGCAGGUAGUGGUCUGUCACCCAGUGCAAUGUCUAUUACACAAAUAAAGGAAUAAAUGAAUGAUGGACGAGGAAGACAUAGGUGAGAAGAAGGAGGGGUUUACAGGGAGGGAGCGGAAGUACUUCCUGCUGCUGCUGGAACCACAAAGAACCAGGAAAGAAAAUGAAGAAGGCUUUCCUGCCGGGCACCCAAGCCUGGCUUUAGCUUCCAAGGAAGUGUACUGUUAGACUCCUUCCAGGACUCCUAAGGAAGAGAAACCACGUGGAAUAAGACUCGUGGAGAACACUGGCAGUUCAGGGAAAGUUCUGAGCCCAACUCAGAGGAGAGCAGUUCUGAGCCCAACUCCAUGGAUAGUCCAACCAAUACCAGGGCCUUUUCUUUUCUCUCUCUCUCUCUCUUUUUUUUUUUUUUUUAAAUGGCUGCCCCUGUGGAAUGUGGAAGUUCCCAGGCCAGGGACUGAAUCUGUAUCACAGCAGCAACCUGAGCUGCUGCAUUAACAACACCAGAGCCUCAACUCACUGUACCCUAAGGGAAAUCCCUACAGGGGCUUUUGUAAUUGUCAACUGUGAGAAACUAAAUUUUUCCUUUGUUGCCUAUGUUUCCUUCAUAUUUCCCCCCAUUGAUAACAAAAGUAUAAAAAAUAAGAAAAAGAAGAGAACCCCAAGGAGGCUUUGUGUUUGCUUAGAUGAUGGGCUAGCAUUCUACAUUUUCAUUCUCAGUGGGGCAGAGAAGGGAGGCUACCAUGGGCAGAAGCAUGGAAAAGAAAUAGGAGAAGAAACAAAGGAUUUAUCCAGCAAGAGAGACAGGAGGAAGAAGGAAGUGGACCAAAGCUGCCCUGAGAUUCUCAUCCCACAGACCUAUCAGGUCCAUUUCCCCUAACCUCUCCUCCCCAAAUCAACAAUGCUCAUCUCUUCUGAUUCUCUUCUAAUUACGUAUGUUCCCCUUUUUUGUUUAUCUUCUAGAAUCAGACUAGCACCUUUGCUCCAGGACAUAGGGUCCAUUUCCAAUGGCUAAAAGCUCUGAUGCACUGAGAGUAUCAUUCAUAUACCAGGCAACCUAAAGUAGAAGUGUGAACACACAUUCCUUGGAAAAUAUGGGUAGAUCUGACUAAUUACCACAAGCUAACUGUUGUAAAAAAACAAAAACAAAAACAAAAAAAACCAAAAACACCAUAAUCACAGAACACUCAUGAGAAAAAGUUACUCAAGUUUAAUGAGGGUCAGUGGAGGAAGAAAUGGGAAGAGGGUCCUUGCUCCACACAGUGAUUCAGGGACUCAGACUUUUCCAAAUCUGUUGCUCUUCCACCUUCUAGGUUAUGUCUUAUUCUAUAUUCAGCCACUAGAUGGGGAAAGAGAGAAGAAUGCUCCUGGGAAGGUUGUAUUGGCUAGACCUGAGGAUGGCAUACAUGUGUACUCACAUUCUACAGGCUGCGGCUAAGUCAUGUGGCUGUGCCCAGUUACAAGUGUGGCUGAGAUAUGAUUGUACUAGUUUCCUAAGCUUGCCAUAACAAAGGAAACAAAGUGGGUGGCGUAAAAUAACAGAACUUUAUUCUCUCACAGUUAUGGAGGAUGGAAUUCUGAAAUCAAGGUGUUAGAGCCAUGCUCCUUCUGAGAGCUUAGAGAAGCAUCCAUCCUUGCCUCUUUCCUGCUUCUGGUGGUUGCCGGCAAUUGGUCUUUCUUGGCUUGCAGCUGCAUUGCUCCUAUUUCUGCCUCAGUCUUCAUAUGACUGCCUUCUCACGGUGCCCAAAUUUUCCUCUUUUUAUAAGGAUACCUGUCACUGGACUAAGGCUCACCCUAAUCUAUUAUGACCUCACUUUAACAUGAUUGCUUCUACAAAAGGCCCUAUUCCCAAGUCAGGCCACAUUCACAGGAACUGGAGGUUAGGACUUAAACGUAUCCUUUUUUUGGGGGGGGGGGGAGAGGACAGUUCAACCCAUGACAGUGGUCUAGCUAUCUAGGAGGGGAAGACAAAAUUGUUUGAUGAAUCGCUGUCCAAUCUGUAUCUAGUUAGUUGUUGAGUUUCUCUAACACAAGUAAUAGGAAACAGGAAAGGUUUUGAGGGUUUUAGAGAACUAAGCCUUUAUUGGUAUCAAUGAUUCUCUAAAAAAUAUAUUUUUUAACACCAGACAAUUUUGACAAAUAAACUUUUGGAAGAUAAUCUAUCUCUAAGGCAUAAUUGCUUAUACUACGGGGACAUUUACCCCCCCCCCCCAAAUAAUGCCACAAUUUUUUUUUAAAGCAGUAUGUCUCAGAUUUCAUAAUACUCUUGAUUCUAAUGGCUUAAUAGAACAGAGUAGGCAUAUUAAAAUUAAUCUAAUCACCUCUAAAACUCCAUACCAAUAAAAUAUUCUUAGCAUAAAACUAAGAAAGGUUUCCUUUUUCUCCUUGGGUCACUGUCAUCUGACUGUGGUUUCUGCUCUUGGCAUUUUCCAUCUUGGCUUUUGCCCAUCUUAUUGCACUUUAUUAAGUGGCUGCUCUUCACUGAAGCUGGCCAUGAUUUAAUAAAAACAACAACAACAACAACAACAACAAUGAACAGUGACUUUAGAAUCAGAAGAACAUUAGUUCUGCAGCUUAUCAACCUUGUUACCCUGGGAAAGUCACCAAAACUGCUUUCUACCUCAGUUUUUUUUUUUUUCCCUACCUGUAUUAUGCUUGAUGUUGACCUUUUACUAGUGUGGUUAUAAGAAUCCCAUAAAGUCACUAAAUAUUUGAGUGUCUGCCAUAUGCCAGUAUUGUUAUAAGUACUUGGGAUAUGUCAGUGAGCAAAGAUCUCAAGCCUUCAUGGAUCUUCCAUUGUGGGGCUAAAAAUUAUAUAAAUUAUAAAAUGCUUUAAAAUGUAAGGUACUGUCAUGACUGCUAUUUUAUCUGCAGCAACUCCAGUUUCUCAAAUAUCUUUAAAAAUUGUAUUGAAAUGCUACAGCAUAGCUCUCUCAGAUGUCAGAAGGUAUGCAAAAUCAUCAAAUAAAUGAAGACUUUACCCAUUAACAGUUUAACCAUAAAUAUAAACUCAUGGUAAAUAUUUAAAAUGUUUCCUUAUUGCAUUUAAAAAUAAGCCUGGGGCCCCUAUUAUAUGCCAUACAAUGCAUUAGGUUCCAUACGGGAUGAGAAGAUAGACACUAAUCCUGCCCUUCAGGAGCUUAGCUUCUGGUUGGACACAUGCCGGCUAAAGACUACUCACUGAGGACAGAAGAGGAAUGCCCAGUAAGAAGGCACAGAGAAAUUGAUUGAAAGCUUCAAAGAGAAACCCAAAUGCUCACAACACUACAACCUGUUGUCAAUCUCUGCAUGUAUAAAUUGUACCUUCUAGGAGUUCCCAUCGUGGCUCAGUGGAAACGAAUGUGACUAGCAUCCAUGAGGAUGCAGGUUUGAUCCCUGGUCUCACUCAGUGGGUUAAGGAUCCAGUGUUGCUGUGAACUGUGGUGUAGGCCAGUGGUAUAGCUCCAUUUCAACCUCUAGCCUGGUAACCUCCAUAUGCCGUGGGUGUGACCCUAAAAAGAUAAAUAAAGAAAUAGAUAAGUAAAUAAAUAAAUAAAUUGUAUCUUCUAAUGCUAUAAUGACUAAACUACUGCUAGCACCUAUUUAUCUACUUGCUGAGAUUUUUAUUUUACAGUUUGAAUAUGGGUGCUUACCUCUGUGGUAUUCUGGUCUAGUGUGUGUGCAGUACAUUCACUCUGUAAAGAAAGUACAUUGUAUAAAAGUUUACUUUUCAGAAGCAGCAGCCAGGAGUUUGUAGCUCCACUGUCAACAUCGGAGACCUGCGUCCGAGUGUCUAAGCCAUGGGUUAUAUAUUUGGAUAUUGACAAAGAAGGCACUGUUAGGAGAGACUAUCCAAACCUAACCAGAAGUUGCUAAUUCAUAAAGUUGUCAAAUACAAAGUUCACCUGUUUGCGAUUUACUUUGCAGAAGUGACAUAAAAACAAUGAUUGGGCUCCUCCUCGGGCUAUCAAACCCAUUGACUGAAAAACAUCUGGCAUCAAAUGAGAAUGAAGGUGUUAGUAACACAUCUGUCCUGGAGAUCCAGAUGCUGGCAAAGUUUUCCUUCUUCCGCUCUUUUUCUCUUUUGCCAUGUCAUUGGUUUGCUAAUGUAUUUGAUAAAAAAAAAAAAAAAAA